RNAcentral lists this ribosomal RNA (659 nucleotides) under Maritimibacter alkaliphilus. Its description in RNAcentral is "bacterial SSU rRNA". It matches the Rfam family "Bacterial small subunit ribosomal RNA", at positions 98 to 792 of the family's 1533-position model. The record is from RNAcentral. Lineage: Bacteria; Pseudomonadati; Pseudomonadota; Alphaproteobacteria; Rhodobacterales; Roseobacteraceae.
GCGGACGGGUUAGUAACGCGUGGGAACGUGCCCUUCACUACGGAAUAGUCCCGGGAAACUGGGUUUAAUACCGUAUACGCCCUUCGGGGGAAAGAUUUAUCGGUGAAGGAUCGGCCCGCGUCUGAUUAGAUAGUUGGUGGGGUAACGGCCUACCAAGUCUACGAUCAGUAGCUGGUUUGAGAGGAUGAUCAGCAACACUGGGACUGAGACACGGCCCAGACUCCUACGGGAGGCAGCAGUGGGGAAUCUUAGACAAUGGGCGCAAGCCUGAUCUAGCCAUGCCGCGUGAGUGAUGAAGGCCUUAGGGUCGUAAAGCUCUUUCGCCAGGGAUGAUAAUGACAGUACCUGGUAAAGAAACCCCGGCUAACUCCGUGCCAGCAGCCGCGGUAAUACGGAGGGGGUUAGCGUUGUUCGGAAUUACUGGGCGUAAAGCGCGCGUAGGCGGAUUAGUCAGUCAGAGGUGAAAUCCCAGGGCUCAACCCUGGAACUGCCUUUGAUACUGCUAGUCUUGAGUUCGAGAGAGGUGAGUGGAAUUCCGAGUGUAGAGGUGAAAUUCGUAGAUAUUCGGAGGAACACCAGUGGCGAAGGCGGCUCACUGGCUCGAUACUGACGCUGAGGUGCGAAAGUGUGGGGAGCAAACAGGAUUAGAUACCCUGGUA